CCCCCAUCAUUUCACGCAAAAUCUCUUUUCCCCAUCCCCCUUUCUGCUCUCUCCCUCUCCCUUCCAUCGCUUCCCACUGCCGCAUCCACCAUCGUUUGUGUCCGUCGUCCGUCGCAGUCAUCGUCGCUUCCCCUCCACCAUCAUCACUUCCCGUUGUUCGCGUUAGUCGGAGGUGACGAUUUCAAGAUUUUUUCUUUUUGGUGU
This 204-nucleotide long non-coding RNA is filed under the name Elaeis guineensis (African oil palm). Its description in RNAcentral is "long non-coding RNA (EGUI_LNC041490)". Lineage: Eukaryota; Viridiplantae; Streptophyta; Magnoliopsida; Arecales; Arecaceae. The record is from RNAcentral.